GAGUUUGAUCCUGGCUCAGAUUGAACGCUGGCGGCAUGCCUUACACAUGCAAGUCGAACGGCAGCACGGGAGCAAUCCUGGUGGCGAGUGGCGAACGGGUGAGUAAUAUAUCGGAACGUGCCCAGUCGUGGGGGAUAACGCAGCGAAAGCUGUGCUAAUACCGCAUACGAUCUAUGGAUGAAAGCGGGGGACUCGCAAGGGCCUCGCGCGAUUGGAGCGGCCGAUAUCAGAUUAGCUAGUUGGCGGGGUAAAAGCCCACCAAGGCGACGAUCUGUAGCUGGUCUGAGAGGACGACCAGCCACACUGGAACUGAGACACGGUCCAGACUCCUACGGGAGGCAGCAGUGGGGAAUUUUGGACAAUGGGCGAAAGCCUGAUCCAGCAAUGCCGCGUGCAGGAUGAAGGCCUUCGGGUUGCAAACUGCUUUUGUACGGAACGAAACGGUCUUUCCUAAUACGGGGGGCUAAUGACGGUACCGUAAGAAUAAGCACCGGCUAACUACGUGCCAGCAGCCGCGGUAAUACGUAGGGUGCGAGCGUUAAUCGGAAUUACUGGGCGUAAAGCGUGCGCAGGCGGUUAUAUAAGACAGAUGUGAAAUCCCCGGGCUCAACCUGGGACCUGCAUUUGUGACUGUAUAGCUAGAGUACGGUAGAGGGGGGAUGGAAUUCCGCGUGUAGCAGUGAAAUGCGUAGAUAUGCGGAGGAACACCGAUGGCGAAGGCAAUCCCCUGGACCUGUACUGACGCUCAUGCACGAAAGCGUGGGGAGCAAACAGGAUUAGAUACCCUGGUAGUCCACGCCCCUAAACGAUGUCAACUGGUUGUUGG
RNAcentral lists this ribosomal RNA (826 nucleotides) under uncultured bacterium. RNAcentral describes it as "bacterial SSU rRNA". It matches the Rfam family "Bacterial small subunit ribosomal RNA", at positions 9 to 826 of the family's 1533-position model. The record is from RNAcentral.